GACGAACGCUGGCGGCGUGCCUAAUACAUGCAAGUUGAGCGAUGAAGCUUGGUGCUUGCCCCAAUUUGAAGAGCAGCGAACGGGUGAGUAACGCGUGGGGAAUCCGCCUUUGAGCGGGGGACAACAUUUGGAAACGAAUGCUAAUACCGCAUAACAACUUUAAACAUAAGUUUUAAGUUUGAAAGAUGCAAUUGCAUCACUCAAAGAUGAUCCCGCGUUGUAUUAGCUAGUUGGUGAGGUAAAGGCUCACCAAGGCGAUGAUACAUAGCCGACCUGAGAGGGUGAUCGGCCACAUUGGGACUGAGACACGGCCCAAACUCCUACGGGAGGCAGCAGUAGGGAAUCUUCGGAAAUGGACGAAAGUCUGACCGAGCAACGCCGCGGGAGGGAAGAAGGGUGUCGGAUCGUAAAACUCUGUUGGUAGAGAAGAACGUUGGUGAGAGUGGAAAGCUCAUCAAGUGACGGUAACUACACAGAAAGGGACGGCUAACUACGUG
This 497-nucleotide ribosomal RNA is filed under the name uncultured bacterium. RNAcentral describes it as "partial 16S ribosomal RNA". It matches the Rfam family "Bacterial small subunit ribosomal RNA", at positions 28 to 507 of the family's 1533-position model. The record is from RNAcentral.